RNAcentral lists this ribosomal RNA (301 nucleotides) under uncultured bacterium. RNAcentral describes it as "partial 16S ribosomal RNA". It matches the Rfam family "Bacterial small subunit ribosomal RNA", at positions 509 to 807 of the family's 1533-position model. The record is from RNAcentral.
CAGUCGCCGCGGUAAUACGGAGGGAGCUAGCGUUGUUCGGAAUUACUGGGCGUAAAGCGCACGUAGGCGGCUUUGUAAGUUAGAGGUGAAAGCCUGGAGCUCAACUCCAGAAUUGCCUUUAAGACUGCAUCGCUUGAAUCCGAGAGAGGUGAGUGGAAUUCCGAGUGUAGAGGUGAAAUUCGUAGAUAUUCGGAAGAACACCAGUGGCGAAGGCGGCUCACUGGCUCGGUAUUGACGCUGAGGUGCGAAAGCGUGGGGAGCAAACAGGAUUAGAUACCCGAGUAGUCCCUGUCUCUUAUAC